This 253-nucleotide ribosomal RNA is filed under the name uncultured bacterium. RNAcentral describes it as "partial 16S ribosomal RNA". It matches the Rfam family "Bacterial small subunit ribosomal RNA", at positions 524 to 776 of the family's 1533-position model. The record is from RNAcentral.
GACGAGGGGUCCAAGCGUUCUCCGGACUUAUUGGGCGUAAAGCGGGUGUAGGUGGCUCUAUAAGUCAGAAGUGAAAGCCCCGAGCUUAACUUGGGAAGUGCUUUUGAUACUGCAGAGCUUGAAUGUGGGAGAGGAUCGUGGAAUUCCAGGUGUAGUGGUGAAAUACGUAGAUAUCUGGAGGAACACCGGUGGCGAAGGCGGCGAUCUGGCCCAACAUUGACACUGAGACCCGAAAGCGUGGGGAUCAAACAGG